AAUCAGUGUUCUAGGGGUGGGAUAGGCAUCGUCCUGUUUGUGCAACCAUGCUGAAGUGAAUAUGCUUUUCUUGAAAUAUGAAUGUACAGGUUGAAAAAUAAAGUAAAUAUCAUGUGGAUACAGAAGAUUCUGCAAGAUCAGAUACUGUCACCAAGGCUGACCGAUUUCUUUUGGUGUUCAGAGUCUUUUGGGGUUUCUAGCACCAUUUGAAAUCGGUUACAAUGAAGGACAGAAAUCAGCGUUUCACAAGACCGGCCUCUGCUUUAAGGAACCUUUAUGUGAAUUGUAGAGAACCAGCAUGAACUUCUUCAGCAAUUUGAACUACAGUAGCUCGUCUGUUGGAUCGGACCACACGGGUCAGUCUUCUCUCCCUACGUGCAUCAAUGAGCUUUGGGCGCCCAUGACCCUGUUGCCGGUUUACCACUGUUCCUUCCUCAGACCACUUUUGAUAGAUACUGACCACGUGUGUUUUACCGCUGCACCACCUGAGCGGCACCGCCGAUUUAUUUUUUUUUUACCCAAAAGUACAAAAAACAUGUCAAGAAUGUGGUGUUGUUAAAAUGUAUUUCUCUGAAUAAAUUUGGUCCAAUUAAA
Molecule: long non-coding RNA, 594 nt
Organism: Trichomycterus rosablanca
Lineage: Eukaryota; Metazoa; Chordata; Actinopteri; Siluriformes; Trichomycteridae
Exons: 2
Source: RefSeq, a predicted model, not a curated record